RNAcentral lists this transfer RNA (26 nucleotides) under Tetraclita rubescens. RNAcentral's name for it is "partial tRNA-Met". The record is from RNAcentral. Lineage: Eukaryota; Metazoa; Arthropoda; Thecostraca; Balanomorpha; Tetraclitidae.
UUAAAAAAAAGAUAAGCUAAAUUUAA